This 496-nucleotide ribosomal RNA is filed under the name uncultured bacterium. Its description in RNAcentral is "partial 16S ribosomal RNA". It matches the Rfam family "Bacterial small subunit ribosomal RNA", at positions 28 to 506 of the family's 1533-position model. The record is from RNAcentral.
GAUGAACGCUGGCGGCGUGCCUAAUACAUGCAAGUCGAGCGAACAGAUGAGGAGCUUGCUCCUCUGACGUUAGCGGCGGACGGGUGAGUAACACGUGGAUAACCUACCUAUAAGACUGGGAUAACUUCGGGAAACCGGAGCUAAUACCGGAUAAUAUAUUGAACCGCAUGGUUCAAUAGUGAAAGACGGUUUUGCUGUCACUUAUAGAUGGAUCCGCGCCGCAUUAGCUAGUUGGUAAGGUAACGGCUUACCAAGGCAACGAUGCGUAGCCGACCUGAGAGGGUGAUCGGCCACACGGGAACUGAGACACGGUCCAGACUCCUACGGGAGGCAGCAGUAGGGAAUCUUCCGCAAUGGGCGAAAGCCUGACGGAGCAACGCCGCGUGAGUGAUGAAGGUCUUCGGAUCGUAAAACUCUGUUAUUAGGGAAGAACAAAUGUGUAAGUAACGAUGCACGUCUUGACGGUACCUAAGCAGAAAGCCACGGCUAACUACGU